ACAUGCGCUUUGAGGUUGGGAGCACUUGCCGUUUGCAAAUGUUGCCUUCAUUUCAUCUGCAAGGUAAAGUGCUGUCCAACUUGAUAGUGCGAAC
This 94-nucleotide microRNA precursor is filed under the name Capitella teleta. RNAcentral's name for it is "microRNA cte-mir-2705 precursor". The record is from miRBase by way of RNAcentral. Lineage: Eukaryota; Metazoa; Annelida; Polychaeta; Capitellidae.